Molecule: long non-coding RNA, 2109 nt
Organism: Lagopus leucura (white-tailed ptarmigan)
Lineage: Eukaryota; Metazoa; Chordata; Aves; Galliformes; Phasianidae
Exons: 2
Source: RefSeq, a predicted model, not a curated record
UGGAGAUUACUUCUUGUGAAGAAUACUGUGAGCCUGUAACACUGAUUUAACCCGACAUCCCAGAAGGCCUGGUCCCUGAGAGCCUGGAUGCAAGCAAAUACUGAAAAGCCGUGCCAUUACAAGAGCCCCGAAGACAGGCAAGGAUGCAGAGAGACUCUGAGCAGGACAAGAGGAGAGGAAGCAGCCCUGUUGUGUUGGGAUUGCCAUCUGGCUCUCGGAGAAGGAAAGGCUCCCUUGGUCUUGGUUCUAUAGAGCAGAGGAUGAAUUGGCCCAGAGUGUGAAGACGACAAACUGAUGCAAAUGAUCAUAAGGAAUGGAAUUCCUGAUAUCUACCAAUCAAGAAAACAAAAAUAUAGGAUUUCAAGAAAGCAAACGUCAUUAUUUGGAGAACUGAGAGGCAAGCUAGGCUGAUAGAGAAAGGGGGGUCAGAAGGAAGUUCUGUGAAACGCUGUCUCGAAGAGAGAAACGCUUUAUUUUCAGAGAAAGAGAUACAGGAAGUGUUGUGAGAAACCACUUGUGCUAACUCAGGAGUUUUUCAGUGACCUGAAAAUUAUUUGGUGUAGAAAGUAGGUCAAGUUACUAAAAAAGGUAUGUGUAAGUCUAGCACAAACCUACAAGGGCAAAAUCGGGAAGGACGAUGCAUAGGAAAAAAAAAAAAACAAUUGACACAGAAUGAAACAAGAAGCAGUAGGAAAAAUAUGUGGAAGGACAUUUGCUAAAAUGUGCAGGCAAGAAAGGAAAGAGGCUCACUUCUAAGGAAAGAGAAGGUUAAUGUUAUGUGUAGAGAGGAAACAAGGACUUCUGAGCAGGGAAGAAUUUGGUAGAUAUUAUGAUAUUGGCUCUAUCUUCUGACUUACCGGGGAGUCUCAUAACCAAAUUAAGGAAGCACUCUUAUUGAAACUCCUGUGAAAUUGUAAAGCUGGCUGGAAAUCCAUAUUUCUACAGAGAAUUAAAAGUAAAUUCAUGCUAGGGUUUCUCCAUAGUUCAGUAUUACGCAAUAUUUGAGGGCUUGGACAUGAAGCAAUGCAACUCUUGAACAGAACAUAACUGCAGUACAUGGCCGGACUUCAAAAAGAUAUUGAAAAACUGAAAUGAUCUGAAAUAAGUAGUACAAUAAGUAGGUAGUAAAACUCACUGUACCAACACAAGAUGAGAGAAGCAGAACAAAGCACCUGUAUAUUAGUAAAGACUGUGGGGUACACAGGAGGCACAUGACCUAUGUCAGUGAUGCUGAGCUACUGAGGGCACUCAGAUUUGCAGCAGGAUGUUGAAACAGGAUUUGUGUGGAAGAUGUGUUAAGUAAUCCUUUUGCCCUGUUUAUCACUGGCAACAUCUCAGCUCUGCUUGAAGAAACACAGGGUCAAUUUGCAGAGCAGAAGCAGCAAGAUACAAAAUUGUUCUGCAGGCCAGGAAAAUAAAUUGUCCUAAAAAGUGCCUGAACAGCAUAUUUAGGUUAAAUAACACCAGUUUCAAGCUGUGGGAAUGCCAGAGGCUGUCUGCCCUUGGAGGCAGGUUGAGCAGUGCUGGGAAGGUAUGCUGAGUCUGCCCUGGGGCAGGGGCAAGGUGUCCUGUGGGUCACAUUCCAUACUUCCAUGAUAGCUUAAAUCCUCCCUGAAUAGAAAGAUGUAGCAGAGAGGUUUUUCAGAACUGACAUUUUCCCCGUUAAAAUCAUAACUGCAUCUGUAAGAGAAGUGACCAGAAUACCUAAUGACUCAUCCUGAUAAAAAUAUCUUAAGAAGCAGAAAAAUGAGAGCACUUAACAUCAUCUAAUGCUGUCUUGAGGGGCAUAGGAACAGAUGUUUUUUGCAAAAGGGCUAGUUCUUGAAAACCAACCUAUUUCAGACAUAAACAAUGCAUCUAUUACUCCGAUGUUUCAAAGACCAGAAACCAUUUAUCUGCGUAUGCUUUUAAACUGAAAGUAUUGGCUCAACAGUGUUCAUUCCAAUUAAAUAUAGGCAAUAAUUAGAAAAGACAGCGAUCUAUCAAGGCAUCAGCUUGAUGAGGUCUUUAAAUCUAGUGAGUGGGUACCCUAACUCUGCCACAUCAAACAAACCCCAGAACAGCCCCAUGGAAAAGCCUGAGAAAACUCAAAUGCUGAGCCAUGCCUGU